This 224-nucleotide ribosomal RNA is filed under the name Penicillium sp. XJURML-9. RNAcentral's name for it is "partial 26S large subunit ribosomal RNA". It matches the Rfam family "Eukaryotic large subunit ribosomal RNA", at positions 66 to 285 of the family's 3401-position model. The record is from RNAcentral. Lineage: Eukaryota; Fungi; Ascomycota; Eurotiomycetes; Eurotiales; Aspergillaceae.
CCCCGGGUAUUGCCCAGUAACGGCGAGUGAAGCGGCAAGAGCUCAAAUUUGAAAGCUGGCUCCUUCGGGGUCCGCAUUGUAAUUUGUAGAGGAUGCUUCGGGAGCGGUCCCCAUCUAAGUGCCCUGGAACGGGACGUCAUAGAGGGUGAGAAUCCCGUAUGGGAUGGGGUGUCCGCGCCCGUGUGAAGCUCCUUCGACGAGUCGAGUCGUUUGGCUUGUGGUGA